This is a non-coding RNA of Anas platyrhynchos (mallard), 12642 nucleotides long. The record is from RefSeq and is a predicted model, not a curated record. NCBI's taxonomy places the organism in Eukaryota, Metazoa, Chordata, Aves, Anseriformes, Anatidae.
CCUAAGCACAUGUAAAGACUAUGGACUAUAUAAAUGAAAAAGUCCUCAAACAUAUUUUCAAAAAUUUCUAACCUGAUAAUAGGAUAUUAGUUUAAAAAAAAAAAAAAAUGUUCUCCCAUUAACUUUUUUUUUUACAUAAAGAAACCAUGACACUUUUCAUGCAGAAGAGCAGAUCAAUUCCUAGAACAUAGCGGGCAGAAUACCACCCCAUUUAAUCUGUAGCUUAUUUGGUCGGCUUUUGCCAGGUGGUAAUGUUUGUGUUAGCAUCUCUCCUCAAUAUCAGUUGUAUGAAAAUAUCCCCCAUGCUAAAAGACUUCAAAGAGGUAAAACACACAGUAAGGAGUGUUUGCUAUACUUUUAGAUGAGAUUCCCAUGAUCACACUCAAUGCAUUUGCUGAUUAUUAUUAUUAUUUUUUAAUCCUCUGCCAAGCUUGGGACAUGUACCCCCACUACGUGUUUCCCUGCCUCGGUUUCAGGGGGCUGAGCAGUGCAGCCCCACAAAGCAGGGGCCAGAGGGGCUACACAGCUGCAGGGUUCAGGCUCUGCCGUACCCACAGCCUUGUAGCUGCAGCUUCUGGAGGUGGAAAACAUUUUCUCCUUCGAGCUGAUGCCGGUGCCCGGACGUGUGAGCGCCCCAAGGGGCCGCGGGGCUGCUGUGGGACUGGGAUGCCCCGGCAGGGGCCUAGCUGUUGCCAGGGCCUUUUGACUCCUGUCCCCUUCACAAGCUGUUAAAUGGCGCCUCCUGCCUACCAGCGAAAGAAAAUUGCCUUGAAAAGCUUUGCCACUCAAGUUCUUGACCAUUACACCACUGGGGUUUUGCCCGUCACACCACAGAGGUUGCACCUGAGAUGUCCUGGUGGGCAGUGUCCCCCCACCCUGACAGGGGACAGCGAGUUGGCCAAGGUGCUGUAGGGCAGAGGCCAAAGCUUUGCUUGGUGCCCCAGCACAGGUCAAUGUGUUUCCCUGCCGCCCCAUCAGCCCCUGAGACACCCACAGGUGUCUGAAGUGAUGGGCCUGGGGUACUUGUGCUGGGCAAGCAUGGUCCAAGUGACCCACCUCCCUGGCUCAAGGUCACAACAGGCCAGAAAGGAUGUGAUCAGUUUCACCUAACUUUAGACAUCUACAGUGUAGGCACCACUCUAUGGUGCCUCCAUGCCAUGGGUGGGGAAGGGCAGGUAUGGCCACAGUCCAGCAUAACUCACUCUUGAGCACACACCUGAACAGACCAGAGAAAUUGCCUACCAUAAGUUCUUGUUUUCAUUGCUAAAGAUUUCAGGAAAAGAAAAAUGUUUUGCAGAGGUCCAAAGUCUAACAGCAAGGUGAGCUGACCCUAUUUGCAGAUCCAAGGUAUAGCAGAUGCUGUCUGGUAGGACCUGGCCUCCUCUUGGAUUAUUAGUGCCUUCCUCUGCUUCCUGCCUGCAUACCACAGAAAAUCUGAGGAACACCUAACUAUUCAGACACCCAAGUCACUGUCCUUGGUUAACACCUAGCAAAUUUUGAGCCACUGCACCGUUUGCUGCUUGUGGUGCAAUAGAGAAGUCUUAACUUUGAGGCAAUACAGCAUUUUGCAUAGAUGUUGAUUGCAGAAGAAGAAAGGGAAGCAGACAAGAUCUUUCUUGAAUGAAGAAAUAGUGUCUGUAUAAUUGAUUAAAUAUUUUUCUUUUGUUUUCUCUAGUGUUAGUUAUCAUAAAUUGCCAUGACCUCACAAUGCUGAUGACAUUCAUGCCUGCAUGAGUUCUGCUGCAUACAGGUUCAGGGCUGCAUAAAUUAAAUGAGUUUCAUAGAUCCAUAGAAUAUCCCGAGUUGGAAGGGACCCAUAAGGAUCAUCAAGUCCAACUCCUGGCACCGCACAGGUCUGCCCAAAAGUUUAGACCAUGUGACUAAGUGCACAGUUCAAUCACUUUUUAAAUUCAGACAGGCUUGGUGCAGUGACUUUUAAGGAUUAAGUUUAAGGAUUUUUGGAGGAUAAUGGUAUAGCCAGGCUUCUAUAGAAUACAUGCUGAAGACAAGUUAUUAUUAUGAGUAUUUUUUUUUAAUUUGUUUAAGGGAAUGUGUUUUCACAUGUAAGUACAUUGGCUCCAUUUUUUUCCCCACUAUAUAUCACAGUAACUCUUGGACAAAACUCAGGGGAAAUAGGGAAGGCAGUAUUAAGCCUCUCAGAGUUAACUCUGCAAAUUCCCAAUUUUCACACUUUCAAAAAUGUUUUUUUUUUUGUUUGUUUGUUUUUUAAGUGUCUAAUGCACCCAGUUAUUAUUUAGUUAUUAUUAGUUAAGCAUUAUAUGUUAUUAUUUAGUUAUUAUUAUAGUUAAGCAUUAUAUGAAGCGUAAAUAUUACGAAUAUAAUAGGGACUAGAAUAGGUGAUUUUAAACAUAAGGCAUAAAUUGCUCACACAUACUUCAUUGCAUCAUUUCUUACAUAUAUGGCAAUACAUUCAAGUGGAUAUAGAAAGCUAUUCCAGCAAUAUUGAAAAGGACACAUUUUAGUCCUCACAUCUAAAUGUACUCCCCCUGAGCUUUCUACCCAUAAUAUAUAAAGUGCACCACCUGGACAUUUUAGCCCUGAAGAAGAUGACAGUACUUCAGUCUUUUCAAAACAUCUCUGAACUAUGUCAAGAAACAGUUCUGGUUCUGCUCAGUUACGUUAUUCAGUCCUGUGGAUGAUAUCUAUCUGGUCUAUGAAUGCUUAUGAAAUCAAAAAGUGCAGCAUGUACCAUAAUUGCAGGCAUUUGGAUCAGCACAUGCAAUAAGUGUUCUCAGAAUAUCUCCAAGACUCACACUCUGCAAAGCACUGCCUCUCUCUUGUAAACACAACUAACUCAAGGAAGAAUGUAUAAACUCUCCUUUCACUCAGCUUUGCCCUUUUUCUCUCUUUAGUAGAGGAAGAAUCUCCGCUUAAUGCAGUUAUAUCUUUGGUGACUAUACAUCUGCAGCCUUUCAAGAGACAGUUGUUCCCUCUCAGGCUCUUAUUUCAGGUUCUAAUAAUAAUAAUAAUAAUAAUAAUAAUAAUAAUAAUAAUAAUAAUAAUAAUAAUAAUAAUAAACAAACAAGCAAACAAAACACCACAGACCAUGAACCAAAUCUUAUCUAAAAUGAUUAUCUUUCCUAUGAAGGUGGAAAAAGGUAUUUACCUGAUUCCCAGCAAUGAUAUUUCUCUAAUCUCUCUCUCAUGCUAGGAACAUCACAUUUCUGCAAUAAUGCUAUCCCUAAGCCACUGCAACACAUGCUGAGCAAUUAUCAGAACAUAUUUCUGGAUUUUCCAGAGGCUUUCAGAAUUAUCCAGGUGUGCAGUCAGCUUGUAUAAAAGCAUAUCCACUGUAGAUAACAUUCAUCUCUUAUAUAACUACUAUUUUUUUUUUUUUGGUCUUUCUUUAUUUUCAUUUAGAAAAGUCAUACACUGAAAAAGAGAUGGGCUGCAGGCAUACUGUGACUGCUUAGAGCUUUUAAUGCAUUUGCCAUUCACAUGAGCAAAAUUGAAAAGGGGAAGAUUUUUUGAGUUUUCAUUAAAAUAUAAUUACCCUGUUUCUUUUUGUUUAUAAGGCAUUUUGUUAAAAAAAAAAAAAAAAAAAAAAAGUUGUUAAAAAGAAAUUUAAAGUUAUUUUAUAAGCAGGCAUAAUAUACCAUUUAUAUACAACAGGGAAUGCAAAAUUUUCUCAAAGCUAUUCACAUUUUUUUUUAAUGAUGCCUUUUUUUUUAAGAAAAAAAAAAGAAGAAAAAAAAAGUAAGUAGAGAAAUUGCUGCUGUGCUUGAUAAUUUCUCUAUUUAAAUAGCACCAAAUAGAUUUUGAACUUCAAAAGUCUUUUACAUGAGAUGGAGAAUGGAAGGGUGAGUGGAAACCAUUACCAGGACUACUGCUUGCUGGAAUCAAUUUUCUGCAAGACUGGUUUCACAGUGCCACAUCACAUCAGAUAACAUUUUGAUAAUUGUAUCUUUUCAACAUUAAGAAAGAAAAGGAUUUUGCUAUUUCUAAGUAUAAUUUACAAAAAUAUAACAGAAUUCAGCAUGAGUAUUGCUGAAAACCGUAAAACCACAAGAACCAAGAAUGUGUUCAUAAGCGAAUUUCAAUGUGACAGACUCUGCUAUGCCAGUUUCCUCACAGCUAUUCAUAUGCUUAUUGGUCAGGUAAGAGUUAAUUGGAUUCUGCAAAAAAUCAGAAGUAGCCACUGAAAAGAAAAGCUUAUUAAAGCCUUAUAGAGAAAAUACUGGUAAAAUACCAAGUCAUCACAACAGGCUUAUCAUGCUUUAUCAGAGUGGCUGAAGAAAUAUUUUCUAUUUUGCUUUAUAAAAAACAAACAAACAAACAAACAAACAAAAACUUUGAAAACAACAGCAACAAAACUUAGGCUGAAACUGAAGGAUGUGUACAGAAAGAAAUUUUUCAGCAAAGGGAUUGUUUUUCACAUUGAGUAUGCAGCAUUACAACACAUAAGGAAAUCUUUUCUGAAAGUCAGAACAUCUGUAGCUACAAUUACAAUGCCUAUAGUGCAUUACAAUGCCCAAGUUUAAUUGGGAAACUCACUGUAGAAGACAUUUAGAAUCAUAACAGGCUUCUUCAAUCAGUGAUGUGUGUUCCAGUCCUCUUCAUCAAAGGCAACGUGGGCAUCUCCAUGGCUGACAGCAGCAGGACCAGGUUUGUAGGCAGUAAACCACAAGAUUUGCCAUAUUGUACCAGAGGGCUCUGGUCUGAGCAAACAUUGCUGGGGCUGAGAAGUCAAAGGCAGGGAUGCUGCCCUGAGAGACACCAGUUCUGUGGUUGCAGCAGUGGUCGGUGGGGGAAUUUUAGCUCGUUUAACAGCUCCAUCUCUGUAAGUGCUUGUGUGGGUGAUUCAAGAGCAUCACAGUCUGCUCAGACUCAGUGUUCCUCACCAACUCUCUCUCACUGCCAAAAGUGGAAGAUGGGAGAGGGACCACACAUAGCCACAGCUCCUGCAUGUUAACAAUUAAAAUCUGCCUGAAAAAAAAUUAACAAUGAAAACUCUUAGCUAUGUCAUAUUCAUUCCCUCACACAUGAAUUACGAGGUGAGCCCUUACUUAUGCACAUAUUUUUGAUAUCACACUUCCCACACUGUAACAUAGUCUCAUUUUUGUAUUUAUUCAAUGUAGGCUGGCUGGCAGAAAAUGAUACACUUUAGGUUUUCAUGAAUAUGUUAUGUGCACAUAAAUUUGGUGUGGUGGGCGGAAGAGAGACCAUGGGUCAGGCACAUGAAUAACUGAGAAACAGAAAUAAGUAAUGGCCAUAAUAUCAUUUUUUGUCUUCUAACAGCUGAAGACAGAGUUGACUGGAUCACCUGCUCUCCGUAGCUGCUCAUAUAUGUAGAUGCUGCAAAAAGAAUUUGAAUUAAGAGCUAUGGGUGGCCUUUAGGUCAUGGGCAGUAGCUGCUUAGAUUUCCCUGCAUCUAUUUCCAAAGUAAAAAAAUGCCUGCACUUGAUGACCAUCAAACAUGUGGGGCAAUAAAAUAAAAUAAAAUAAAAUAAAAUAAAAUAAAAUAAAAUAUUACAGAAUGGGAAACAGCAGCAAGAAGAAAAUCGUACAAUUAGAGACCAAACCAGAGGUUCCCAGUGCUGUGUAGCAGGCCCAUGUCAACAUAGUUCAGGGUGGUACAACAUAAUGGUGUGUGCACAGGCUCCCUAAUAUGGCUAAUACAUGGGCUUGUAGGCUCUCCUUAGUUCAUAAAACAACUUCCCUGUCACGGAUCCUCCACAUUCUUGUAGGUCUAGUGGCAAGGCAAUUGUAUUCCUCCUGUCUUGCCUUGAUUCAAAUAUGCUUUUGGGAAGAGAUCCUGUCUGUGCAGCAGGAGUGUUUGCCCUGUGUCUUCCUUCUGCUUGGUUUCCUCCAGCCCUCCUGAAGGCACUGUUUCCAGGAUGGUGUUCUUAAAACAGUGCUGCUGACAAAACAAACCCAAAGCCAGCUCUGCUCUGUGCAGCAUCAGCUAUGCAGGAGCCCUGCACUGAUGUUUGGGUUGAAAUUCUUGACAGCAAAGUUUUGUGGCAGUGCUGUUUGUGACAAGUUCCUGUCAAGACUGAUUUAUAUGGCAAAAUCAAGCAAGCAACAUUAAAAAUAAACUCUAAUGUGCCUUGCUAAUUUCUUCUAUGUAAAAAAAUGAUGUAUUACAGUCUGAAAUCUGCUGUGGCUCUCAACAAAGCCACAUUAUUAUGGUGCUCUCUUGUCAAUAGAUUUAUGAAGUUUUGCAGAUUUGGAAACAACUAUUUCCAAGCUAUAUAUAUGAAAACAAAACAAAACAAAAACCCUUCUCUUUAAGUGGAUAAAGAUCGGAGAACUGUCAGAAGGUUACAAAGCUUCAUGAAAGAUAGCUCAAAUUUCAGAAGCUUAUGACUACAAAUUUAAUGUGAGCAUCGUUUGUUGGGAAAUAUUAGGUAUUUUCUCCUUCGAGCUCUAGGUUGGCAUGUUGAAAAAAACCAUCAUGUACCAUCUUAAUCAGAACAAGGAUAACAAAGGAAGUGAUUUUUAACACUGAAAUUGUUUUAAACUAAAGUUUCCUUUAAAUUUUCUAAAGUUCAUAGUGUUUGAAUCUCUUUCUAUAUUUUCAAAGAUAAAUCAUGAACGAAAUGAACUGUUUAUCUGGAGGUGAAAAUAAUUGUGCUGCAUUUUCAACCAUUGCAGUUGUAUACAUUAUGCUGUUUAUUUAUAUCAAGUCAGCCAUGUAACUCUCAGGUACAGUAUCCAGAUGCUCCCAUCUGCAUUUCUAAACUUCUGUGCCAGCUCUUGUGUCACCUGCUGAAAGAAAAUGAUCUGACUGUCUGCAGAUUGAGCAGCCACUUCUUUGAAGCAGUUACCAGUGCAGCUUCUGACUCCAGGUCUCUGCCAGCAUGCGUUCAACCAGCCUGCAGACAUCAGUAGCUGGCUUUCCCCCACUCUGAGGCUUCACGUUAAAUUGCUGUUGAGACUCCAUGACAUAAAUUAAGAACAGAAAAACCAGUUUUAAGCUUACAGCUCUGAAGAAAUCACCAAACGAGUUCUAUUUUGGCAGCCUGCUGCUCACAACUCAGAAAAUACGACAGCAAAGCAAAUCACAUGUCCAGUGUGUGUUUUAUAACCCGCCUCAGACUAAGCCAUCUUGUAGGCACAUGCUUGACUAUUUUUAGUGGCUGUGCUCCCGCAUAUAUGGCAAAGUCCUUUAGCAUUGGCUACUCACUAGGGGCUACUUGAAAAGUAGCAAGAGAUGUCAGUUGCUGGAAUUUUCACUGAAAAUAAUAAUACCUGGAUUUCAGAUUUGCUGUACAGAUUUGCCAAAGUGCAAAUGAAGUCAGCUCUGGCAAUGUGAUGAUUCACUGAUUGCUGCCUUCAGCCAUGAAAGCUCAGGAUCUGACUGUGUUUUAUUUUCAUCACCAUUACAGCAUUAUUUUAAAGAUACACCAUUGCUCGUGGGAACGUCGGUUUUCUAGGGUGUGCAUCUGGGAAUCAAACAUUUCUUCCCCAGCUCCAAGCAGGCACUGUGGCAAAUCCAGAGGACCUAUAACUGACACGUCCCAUUAGUCAUAGAAACAUCCCACUAAAAUUAGCGGCAGCUUUUCAUCUUUAUGGGCCUCAUGCCUCGGUCCAUAUGUAGAACAUACAAAAUGGAUUUUUCUUUUCUUGGCAUGUAACCCCGUCUUUCCGGUACUUUGGUUCCAGACCUUCAUGAGCAACGCAGGUGGCUUUUGUUGCUCCACAGCUCAUAUUCUUGACAGUUACUGCAUCUACACAAUACUUCUGGAUACAGCCAGGCUGAAACAUUCUCACAAACAGUUACUUAAGAUUAUCAGCAUUAGCACAUAAAUAUAAUAAUAAUUAAUAAUACUUUGGCUUCUUGAAGAUCCCCUGUGCUGCUCUGUUGGCUCUGUUUCAAGAGCACCUAAAAAGAUGACAGCAAGGGCUCCCCCAUCCGUGUCUCGUUUUUUAAACUAUAGAUGGUUUGUUUCUUAGGUGUGCAACAAAAGUGCAGCCAAAAGCUACUGCGAUUUUCACUUUCAGAGCCCAAGGUUUUCAUGACCACCUCACAUUUGGGACUGUAUCUGUUUAUUCAUUUGUUGAGUCCCAGCUGGAGACAGUUCAGACAUGAUUUUUGGAGGUGUUGGCCACUUAACAGCUUCCAUGUGAGCCAAGGAGAACUGUGACUGUGCAGCACUGUUCUUAAUGUAGCUUCUGGUUUUUGAAAUGAGCAUGCUCUACAAGAGGCCAUUUCUACAGUGUUUACCUCAUCUUUAUUCUGAGUCUAAAUUUAUAACAAACAAUGACCUGAAUUAUUUCUGCAUCAUUCACUGCCUUUGUGAAAUUAAUAAAGAACACAAAGAGAUACUUUACUUCAUUAAUACAUAUCAAAAAGAAAAUCCAAGGCUUCUCAACCCUGCAAUUCUUGAUUUUCUUGUUUGCUGCCUCAACAUACAGGUCAAAUACAGAGUAAGACUCUCCUUUUCCUGUGGAAUGGUUACUCUGAAGCAGGGAUCAGGCUGUGGUGAGAACUCUGUAUCGCCAUUUCUUUACCUGGCUUAUAAACUCAGGAUUUUAUUUUCCAGUGCAAUCAAUAUUCAAAUUUUCCAAAGCACUUUAUCUACUCAGAAGAGACAGCAAUGUGCCAAAUUUCCCUAGUUGAAGUCCCAAAGCCACAUUUUUCAGUUUCAAAAGGAAACAAAUAAAUAAAUAAAAUAGAACUGCCCAGAUAAAACUCAAAACAGUUCUUGGAGCUAAUUAAUAACACAGGUAUCAUUUUUUUAAUUUUUUUUUUAACCAUACCACGCAAUGGAGUGCAAUAAGAACAAUGGUUAUACCAACUGAGAAAUAGAAAAGGUGAUUCAUUUUAGUUUGGAAAGAAACAGCAGUGUGUCUUGGUGUUGCUAAUAAAAGCUUUUAGGGUUUUGCUCCCUGCAGGCUUCAUGGCAGUAAUCAGCAGUGCUUCUGUUAGCUCAUUAUCAGCAUUGCUGGCAGCAGAGGAGGGAGAAUUGGUUGCACAUUCUGAUUAUUAUUGUCAUUGUAACACUUUAUAUUAAGUCUCCUUCAACAAAGGAUUUACAAGCCGCAUUAGAGACAGUACAUCAAUAGAAGCUGUUACAGAAUCACACUGUAACUAUACAGACUGAUUAGUCUUUUAUUGACAGCCUAUGAAAAAUUUACUAACCACCCACUAACUGUUUGUAAAUGGAGCCGAAGUAUUCAGACUCAUAUGUUUGAAGAACACGAGGAACCGUUUGGAGGAUAUGCUCCAGUUUCUCACUGAACACAGGUCACAAUGUCUUGCCAGAAGAGUCCUGUGGUGAGCCAGCCAUUUCUGGAUGAACUAGUGCAUCUUUCCUAGAACGUCAUCCAUUCUGGACCCGAAGUUUUCAAGAAUCCUUAACAACUCAGUAUGUAGAUUUGUAAGAAACAGAACUCAUGCAAUUCCAGAUUUCAGUUAUUAAAUAGCCUACAACAGUAAAGAUCCUUCCAUUACUGCAACCUUCACCCUUCUCUCUUACUCUUUCUUUCACUUAAUCUAUGUUCUAUAUAAAGUAAAAAAUCAUUACCCAACAUUUAGGUUUUGGUAGGAUCUGAGCUCAGUCCAAACCAGAAUUCAGUCAUGCUGAAGGUAACACAUCCUUUCAAAGAUUACACAGGCAACAUGAAACAGAUGGAUAAAAACCUUGGAGGCUGGUCACAGAGAAGAAAGUAAAGGAGUAAUGGGAUAUAUACAGCUCUGAGCCACUCACAUGCCACACUGAGAUGUUUCCCCAUCACUGCACCUGCAGAGGUACCUCCUUUAGGAAAGCCCUAUGAAGAAUGUCUGAAAAACUAAAAGAAUCACUGUACAUUAAUUGUGUAGCAGAUAAUAAGUGCAAGCUCUACCCACAUCACCAGUAUUCCUCUAUUCAUGAGCCAUGGAUCAUAACCUGCACUUCUUAUGAGGCUGCUCUGCCUUCCCUACUCCCUCCUAUGAUUCUCUGUAGCAAGCUGUUCUUUUUUUGUUUGUUUGUUUGUUUUUCCAAAGCACAGAGGCCUGGCAUGGAAACCCCAAGGUGCUCUUCAAGUUGUGUCCUAAAAUAAAUUGGAUCUCCUCUUGUUUUUCUUGAAUAAGUGCAACGCAUUCUAAGUAUUUCUUUGCCAAGGUAUUUAGAAACGGUAAAGCUGGGAGAUGAAGAGUGCUGGAAGACUGGGCUUGAGGCAGUGCACUUACUGCAGUGGUAUUCUCCCACCAGCUGUUUCUGUUUCCCUGUAAUUUGUUCAGGAUUUGCAUCAGGACCUCUGAGUUCACCUUCUGCAAAAUAUUUGUUAAUUUUUUUUCUCUCUUUCUCUGAGACAAGUGCUCCCCCCUCCACCCUGUCCCAACCUCUUUUUAAGUAGAAUAGUUUGCCAGUGGAUUGGAAACAAAUUAGUACCAUGUUGGCAGGGCUGGGCUGCUUGAUUCCCAGACACGUUUCUUGUAUUUGUUAUUUUUUUUUUCAUUGUGAAAAUAACAGAGAUGGAAUGACAUGUAUUCAAGGAGCUCCUUUGACAGAGGCAGAUCUAAAAAGAAUGUAUUCAUCCUCCACAGUUGUAAAUGUGGUGUGUUCCCACUGGCUACAGUAUACUCCGAACAUCAUAAGGAUGGUGAAUCUUUGGAGGACUCACAAUUUAAGUUCCAGUGACUGUCUGUCUUCUUAAAAUCUUCUUAAUUGAUGGAUCUGCUUACAGACUGCCAUUUACAUACAUCUGCCUAAUUCCUUCUUUCUUACAAAUCUUAGCCUAUUUGCCAUGGUCAUGAGAUUUAAUUUUUGCUAUGUUCUUUGGACAUCAAGACAUUUUCCUGAUAUAGGGAAGCUGAGGUAUAAAAAUCAAUGCAAUUCACACAUGAAGCCUGGGUUGAAAUAAGAAAGAGACAGUUAAUUUUCACCCAUUUUUAUAAAAACAAAAUUCAGAAUUUUCACUUCAACACAUUUUGAGGUUAAGCUAACUAAAUCUAAUGUAAAACUGAAAUGAAGAAAAAAAAUCUAGGGUAAAUGAAGUAUUUUAAGUCAAGCAGAGUGUUUAAUUUGAUCAGAACUGAAAAACCUUUUCUUUCAUUUUCAUUUUGGCAAAAACAACAAAGAGGUCAUUUUGGGUUGACCUGAAAUAAUUUUUUUCUUAGUUCAGCCAAAGAGUGGAAAGAUUAGUUAUUUAGACAGCACUACUCCUAAAUUCAACUACCAUGCCAUUUCCAGCAGGCUAUCCUUCCUGCCUUAAAUGAGCUUUUCAUCCUUAUAUAUACGUUUAUAACAACUGAUGAGAGAAAUAUUGAGUAAUCACAUAGGUCCCAGUCAAAGUUUCAAAAUUCCUUUAACUGUUUGACCUUCCUUUCUUGGAAGUGAAUCCUAUGUAUGUGUAAUUUAUUCAUAAUUCCAGUUCAUGAGACCUUUUUGUUGUUGAUUGUGGCCAUUUGUUGGUGUUGUUUUAAAAAUAAAAGCUUUCCAUAUUAAUUUGUUCCAUCUCUUGCUUCAUGGGACAUAAUUUACAGUGAUGUGCCUGGCCCUAAAUGAAUGCAGGUUAGCUUACAGUAGGAAGGACUGUUGGAAAAAAUACAAUGAAUUGUCCCCAGAAUAAACAAACAACUUUUCAAUUUGGGUUCUGCCAAUGGCUCUUUGAUAAUGAAUAUAAAGGAGCAGGAUGUUUGCUGACCAUGCUACAGAUGUCUAAUGUUUCAGUCAUGUUGAAUGAAUCACUUUGGUUCUGUUGGCUCACAGAGAAGUAAAUAGUCUUUUUCUGAUUCAUCUUCUAAAACGAUACUACUUUGGAGAAGCUAUUUGUGAAACUGAGUGCAUGGAGCAGUCUGUUUGUUCUUUUUAAUUCCUUCCCCGUUUUUCUACUUAUAACACCUUUUCUGACAUAAGCAUGUGCAACAUAAACUUUGUGUCAUGUGUUAUAGGGUAGAAAAUCUAAAAUGCUAAACACACUAGUGCACUUUGGGUAACACCUACAAUCAUAAUGAAGUGUUUCCUGGCACACUGCAUUCUGCACCUUAAAUCACUUUUAUAUUGAGCUCCAAAAGUUUAAGUUUUUUUCUGAGUUACACGUUAGUGCCUGAGGAAAGGGAGCUGGGCCAUGGUAGACAACCAGGGCAGUAGGUGGAGGUGGCUACCAACAUCAGCAUCACCAGUUUGUGGUGUUGGGCUGAACUGUGUCCAGAGGUGCUACCCAACAUUGGGACAGGAGUGCAAGACCAGAAGAGUGAUGUUCUGCCAAGCAAAGCUGUAGGGAGGGCAGCCUCUUGGCCAGAGCCAAAGACAGAUGAGGAGCAGCUGAUGGCAGAAAUGUCUUUUACCAAAAUACCAGGUUCCAGAAUAAAUUUGUUUGGAACUUAGCAUUAAAACCCCAUUUCAGUGCUGUAUUUAAGUGUGUGCCCAUCUCUGAGAAUAUGAGGCACUACUUUAAGGUCAGUGGGAUUUCUCACAUUCUUAAAAUGGGUAUGUACUUCAGAAGCUAAUUUGGAGCAUUUUCAAAGAUUUUUAGGAACAGAGAAUGCUUAGAGAGAACUAAUACAGUAGAAGAAAAUAAAAUGGCAAAAAGAAAAAAAAAAGAAAGAAAAAAGAAAAGAAAUGAAGACAAUAAAAACAUCAAAUGUCAGAAAAAAAUCACAUAAAUUCUGAAAAUUGACCAGACACCAAUAAUUCUGACAAAAGCCUAGGCACAUUAACACACAUUAGAUAUAACAUGAAUUUGAAA